AAAAGCACGCACCUCUUUAUUUUGCUAGCUUACAUGACGUUGUGAUUGGAGUGUCACUGGAGUCCUAAUCUAGAUUGAGUAAUCAACGUGAUUACCCACCUAGACCUUCAAGUAAUUGUAAGAAAAAUCCACACACCAAGCAAACCCUAAGAUAAUAGGAGAAUAGGAGUUUAGGACGUUAAAUCUCGCUCCUUGAGAUAAAUAAGAUGAAUAGAUCAACUUUACAGUCACUUACAAAUUGGAUCUGCGGACCAGAUGGAGAGGAUUAGAGAUUGUGUGUGUGUGUGUGGGGAGGGGGGGG
Molecule: long non-coding RNA, 301 nt
Filed under: Hordeum vulgare
Lineage: Eukaryota; Viridiplantae; Streptophyta; Magnoliopsida; Poales; Poaceae
Description: long non-coding RNA (HVUL_LNC011121)
Source: RNAcentral